Molecule: ribosomal RNA, 437 nt
Filed under: uncultured bacterium
Lineage: Bacteria
Description: bacterial SSU rRNA
Rfam family: Bacterial small subunit ribosomal RNA
Source: RNAcentral
UACGGAAGGCAGCAGUGGGGAAUAUUGCACAAUGGGCGCAAGCCUGAUGCAGCCAUGCCGCGUGUAUGAAGAAGGCCUUCGGGUUGUAAAGUACUUUCAGUCGUGAGGAAGGUGUUAAGGUUAAUAACCUUAGCAAUUGACGUUAGCGACAGAAGAAGCACCGGCUAACUCCGUGCCAGCAGCCGCGGUAAUACGGAGGGUGCGAGCGUUAAUCGGAAUUACUGGGCGUAAAGGGCACGCAGGCGGUUAAUUAAGUUGGAUGUGAAAUCCCCGGGCUUAACCUGGGAAUGGCAUUCAAGACUGGUUAGCUAGAGUCUUGUAGAGGGGGUUAGAAUUCCAUGUGUAGCGGUGAAACUGCGUAGAGAUGUGGAGGAAUACCGGUGGCGAAGGCGGCCCCUGGACAAAGACUGACGCUCAUGUGCGAAAGCUGGGGAGCA